ACUCGAGUGGCGAACGGGUGAGUAACACGUGGGCGAUCUGCCCUGCACUUCGGGAUAAGCUUGGGAAACUGGGUCUAAUACCGGAUAGGAGCCAUCUUUAGUGUGGUGGUUGGAAAGUUUUUUCGGUGUAGGAUGAGCUCGCGGCCUAUCAGCUUGUUGGUGGGGUAAUGGCCUACCAAGGCGGCGACGGGUAGCCGGCCUGAGAGGGUGUACGGCCACAUUGGGACUGAGAUACGGCCCAG
This 242-nucleotide ribosomal RNA is filed under the name uncultured Actinomycetales bacterium. RNAcentral's name for it is "partial 16S ribosomal RNA". It matches the Rfam family "Bacterial small subunit ribosomal RNA", at positions 89 to 334 of the family's 1533-position model. Lineage: Bacteria; Bacillati; Actinomycetota; Actinomycetes; Actinomycetales. The record is from RNAcentral.